This 468-nucleotide ribosomal RNA is filed under the name uncultured bacterium. Its description in RNAcentral is "partial 16S ribosomal RNA". It matches the Rfam family "Bacterial small subunit ribosomal RNA", at positions 28 to 507 of the family's 1533-position model. The record is from RNAcentral.
GACGAACGCUGGCGGCGUGCUUAACACAUGCAAGUCGAACGGAAAGGCCCUGCUUUUGUGGGGUGCUCGAGUGGCGAACGGGUGAGUAACACGUGAGUAACCUGCCCUUGACUUUGGGAUAACUUCAGGAAACUGGGGCUAAUACCGGAUAGGAGCUCCUGCUGCAUGGUGGGGGUUGGAAAGUUUCGGCGGUUGGGGAUGGACUCGCGGCUUAUCAGCUUGUUGGUGGGGUAGUGGCUUACCAAGGCUUUGACGGGUAGCCGGCCUGAGAGGGUGACCGGCCACAUUGGGACUGAGAUACGGCCCAGAAUCCUACGGGAGGCAGCAGUGGGGAAUAUUGCAGAAUGGGCGGAAGCCUGAUGCAGCAACGCCGCGUGCGGGAUGACGGCCUUCGGGUUGUAAACCGCUUUCGCCUGUGACGAAGCGUGAGUGACGGUAAUGGGUAAAGAAGCACCGGCUAACUACGUG